UACGGGGGGAGCGAACGUUGUUCGGAUUCACUGGGCGUAAAGGGGACGUAGGCGGCCAGGUAAGUGGGGCGUGAAAUGUCUCGGCUCAACCGAGGACCUGCGCUUCAAACUGCUUGGCUUGAGUCCGGGAGGGGAGACGGGAAUUCCUGGUGUAGCGGUGAAAUGCGCAGAUAUCAGGAGGAACACCGGUGGCGAAGGCGCGUCUCUGGACCGGUACUGACGCUAAGGUCCGAAAGCGUGGGGAGCAAACAGG
RNAcentral lists this ribosomal RNA (253 nucleotides) under uncultured bacterium. RNAcentral describes it as "partial 16S ribosomal RNA". It matches the Rfam family "Bacterial small subunit ribosomal RNA", at positions 524 to 776 of the family's 1533-position model. The record is from RNAcentral.